GGGCUUACGGCAGUGCAGCUUGCUGCCCGCAGGUCGACGAUUCCUACCGGAGGCAGCAGUGGGGAAUAUUGCACAAUGGACGAAACUCUGAUGCAUCAACGCCGCGUGAGGGAAGACGGUUUUCGGAUUGUAAACCUCUGUCCUUGGUGACGAAACAAAUGACGGUAGCCAAGGAGGAAGCUCCGGCUAACUACGUGCCAGCAGCCGCGGUAAUACGUAGGGAGCAAGCGUUGUCCGGAUUUACUGGGUGUAAAGGGUGCGUACGCGGCACUGCAAGUCAGGCGUGAAAUAUAUGGGCUUAACCCAUACACUGCGUUUGAAACUGUGGUGCUUGACUGAAGUAGAGGUAGGCGGAAUUCCCGGUGUAGCGGUGAAAUGCGUAGAGAUCGGGAGGAACACCAGUGGCGAAGGCGGCUUACUGGGCUUUAACUGACGCUGAGGCACGAAAGCAUGGGUAGCAAACAGGAUUAGAUACCCUGGUAGUCCAUGCCGUAAACGAUGAUUACUAGGUGUGGGGGGUCUGACCCCUUCCGUGCCGGAGUUAACACAAUAAGUAAUCCACCUGGGGAGUACGGCCGCAAGGUUGAAACUCAAAGGAAUUGACGGAAU
This 609-nucleotide ribosomal RNA is filed under the name uncultured bacterium. RNAcentral's name for it is "bacterial SSU rRNA". It matches the Rfam family "Bacterial small subunit ribosomal RNA", at positions 306 to 919 of the family's 1533-position model. The record is from RNAcentral.